This 1204-nucleotide long non-coding RNA is filed under the name Phaseolus vulgaris (common bean). RNAcentral's name for it is "long non-coding RNA (PVUL_LNC002569)". The record is from RNAcentral. Lineage: Eukaryota; Viridiplantae; Streptophyta; Magnoliopsida; Fabales; Fabaceae.
UCUUUUUGUGAAUGAAAAUUUUAUUUCCCAAAAAAACUUAUCAGUUCUCGUGUCAUCUUCUCCGCGAUGGCACCGUCUUCUUUGUCUUCUUCGUGACACCAUCUUUUUUGUCUUCUCUACAUCAUCGUUUUCUCUAUCUACUGCAAUACCAUCUUCUUCUCUGUUGUCUAAAGAUCUUGUUGUCCUUCUCGAUGUCAACUGGUGUGAUUCUCAUAACACUCAACGGUUCAUUCUUUUUUUGUAAUUCCUAAAUACAUGUUUUGUUCUACUAUGGGUUCACUAUUUUGGAGUUCAAGGUUUUAUUGUUUUAGAGUUUUUAUUUUGAGGUUUUUCUGCUUUGGGGUUUUGAUAUUUUGUUGUUUAACUUUGUUGUUUUUCUAUUUUGUUGUUUCUUUGUUUAGUUGUUUCACUAUUUUGCUUUUGUUGUUUUACUAUUUUGUUGUUUUUGUAUUUUGUUAUUUUAUUGUUUCGUUGUUUUGCUAUUUCGAUGUUUUUCUAUUUCCCUGUUUUAUUGUUUUGCUAUUUUGUUGUCAUGGCAUGGACGCGUGAUAAGUUCAAAAUUUCAUUAAUAUUUCAUAUUAAAAUAUAGACACUUAUGAGUAUUAAUUGCUAAAAUAAGUAUAAGACAACCCAAAAUUUAUGAAUUUAUACCUUUCUACAUAUUUUAUGAUUUUAAUUUUAAUAGGAACGAUUUAUUCCCAAAUUUGGUGUUAAUUUCAGUAUUCUAGGGGAGAAUGAAGAUGAUUCGACAAAAGGAGAAUAUACAAAGUUAAAAAGGGAAAGUUGGAAUGCAUCAACACUCAACAAGUUGCCAAAAUGCGCGAAAGAACCAUCUCACCACCAGGGGAGCUCACUCAAGCAAGCUAUAUCUCUCUUGAGCAAGAUAACACCACUGAAGUUGGGUUGGACGACGUUUUGCUUUCUCAAGCGAGCCCAUUAUCGCUUGAGCAAGAAUCCACUUAAGCCCAGACAAAUUAGGUUAAAUAGGGGGCUUGAGGCACAACCCUAAUGUGCAAGAUUGAGAGGAAAACACCAUUGAGUGACCUGUAACCCAAUUGGGCGAAUAUGAGGUGUGAGAAACAUUAGAGGAGGCAGUCGCCAAGGAGAAACAUCUUGAAUCUUCUUUUUAUGUUAUCCUUGAGUGUAGUAGUCAUCAUGAGUGGCUAAUUCUACCUUUUGGGAUUGAGAGUAAUCUAUUCAAAUU